UACGGGGGGGCAAGCGUUGUUCGGAAUUACUGGGCGUAAAGGGCUCGUAGGCGGCCAACUAAGUCGGAUGUGAAAUCCCAGCUUAACCUGGGAACUGCAUCCGAUACUGGAUGGCUUGAAUCCGGGAGAGGGAUGCAGAAUUCCAGGUGUAGCGGUGAAAUGCGUAGAUAUCUGGAGGAAUACCGGUGGCGAAGGCGGCAUCCUGGACCGGCAUUGACGCUGAGUGAGCGAAAGCCAGGGAGCAACGGG
RNAcentral lists this ribosomal RNA (249 nucleotides) under uncultured bacterium. Its description in RNAcentral is "partial 16S ribosomal RNA". It matches the Rfam family "Bacterial small subunit ribosomal RNA", at positions 524 to 776 of the family's 1533-position model. The record is from RNAcentral.